RNAcentral lists this long non-coding RNA (553 nucleotides) under Citrus x clementina. RNAcentral's name for it is "Citrus clementina (C. clementina) long non-coding RNA (CCLE_LNC004683)". Lineage: Eukaryota; Viridiplantae; Streptophyta; Magnoliopsida; Sapindales; Rutaceae. The record is from RNAcentral.
AUAUUAAUAUAUUGUUGGCUAAACAAACAGCUGAAAACACACCGAGAAACAGGCAGGAAGACAUUUACUAAUUUAUUUCAUCGAAAUUACGCCCCAAAUGAUCUGAUACUUUGUUGCAUCAACGGCACUCAUAAGUAAUCACAAUUGGUGCUGAACUAAUAUGUUAUGCCUCACGCUCGUUUUACGUUGGCUGCAUGGAGGAGGUUGAUGAGUCAUAUACAAGCCAUCAACAUAAUCGUAGUCGCUAGAGACGUUAAUUGGCUUCCUAUUCUCACGCGAUCAAGUUUCCAUGGUCGUACAAUCGUUUACAUCUCUUUUAGCAAUUCCUCGUUUUAGAAGCCAAAAAGGGGGAAAAAAAAAAGAAAAAAAAAGAAAAAGAAAAGAGAAACGAAGUAAAAGCAUACCGUAUGCAAUUUCCGUCUUCCACUCCACGGAAACAAAACUUUGUGGUGCUCGUUUCCAAAGAAUUGCGAUAACAAUCGUGCGAUUGGAUCAGGAGGAAUACUGAAUGAACCUUUUACUGCCUGCGUACGCCCUUGUUUCGACGAGGGGC